GGAGAGAUGGCCGAGUGGUUGAUGGCUCCGGUCUUGAAAACCGGUAUAGUUUAACUAUCGAGGGUUCGAAUCCCUCUCUCUCCU
RNAcentral lists this transfer RNA (84 nucleotides) under Lepidium campestre (pepperwort). RNAcentral describes it as "tRNA-Ser". It matches the Rfam family "tRNA". Rfam says of the family: Transfer RNA (tRNA) molecules are approximately 80 nucleotides in length. Their secondary structure includes four short double-helical elements and three loops (D, anti-codon, and T loops). The record is from RNAcentral. RNAcentral also lists the same sequence under 3 other names. Lineage: Eukaryota; Viridiplantae; Streptophyta; Magnoliopsida; Brassicales; Brassicaceae.